RNAcentral lists this ribosomal RNA (230 nucleotides) under uncultured bacterium. Its description in RNAcentral is "partial 16S ribosomal RNA". It matches the Rfam family "Bacterial small subunit ribosomal RNA", at positions 563 to 791 of the family's 1533-position model. The record is from RNAcentral.
AAGGGUACCGUAGGCGGUUUAAUAAGUCAGUGGUGAAAGCCCAUCACUCAACGGUGGAACGGCCAUUGAUACUGUUAAACUUGAAUUAUUAGGAAGUAACUAGAAUAUGUAGUGUAGCGGUGAAAUGCUUAGAGAUUACAUGGAAUACCAAUUGCGAAGGCAGGUUACUACUAAUGGAUUGACGCUGAUGGACGAAAGCGUGGGUAGCGAACAGGAUUAGAUACCCUAGU